UUGUCACUCUAUGAGCUGGUUCCUUGACUUUAACAUGUAGCCACAGUGGCUUACACUAGUCUCCAGACACCUAGAAUCUGGCCUAAUUAGCAAGGCCACCCACACCUCUCCCAACUUCUUCCCAGGGGCUUCCCGCAAAGGCCAACCUUGGAGUGAGAACUGUGAUCCACAAAUGGAGGGAUGACCAACAGCCUGGACAAUGUGCUGGUUCCAUCGAGUGCUGCUCAUCAAGAUAA
RNAcentral lists this long non-coding RNA (236 nucleotides) under Canis lupus familiaris (dog). RNAcentral describes it as "lncRNA (ENSCAFG00845017407.1)". The record is from RNAcentral. Lineage: Eukaryota; Metazoa; Chordata; Mammalia; Carnivora; Canidae.